Molecule: ribosomal RNA, 449 nt
Filed under: uncultured bacterium
Lineage: Bacteria
Description: partial 16S ribosomal RNA
Rfam family: Bacterial small subunit ribosomal RNA
Source: RNAcentral
AACGAACGCUGGCGGCAUGCCUAACACAUGCAAGUCGAACGAGACCUUCGGGUCUAGUGGCGCACGGGUGCGUAACGCGUGGGAAUCUACCCUUGGGUUCGGAAUAACAGUUAGAAAUGACUGCUAAUACCGGAUGACGACGUAAGUCCAAAGAUUUAUCGCCCAAGGAUGAGCCCGCGUAAGAUUAGCUUGUUGGUGGGGUAAUGGCCUACCAAGGCGACGAUCUUUAGCUGGUCUGAGGGGAUGAUCAGCCACACUGGGACUGAGACACGGCCCAGACUCCUACGGGAGGCAGCAGUGGGGAAUAUUGGACAAUGGGCGAAAGCCUGAUCCAGCAAUGCCGCGUGAGUGAUGAAGGCCUUAGGGUUGUAAAGCUCUUUUACCAGGGAUGAUAAUGACAGUACCUGGAGAAUAAGCUCCGGCUAACUCCGUGCCAGCAGCCGCGGUAA